UCUCUUCCUGGCAGACAGGUUUCUCUUAAC
RNAcentral lists this non-coding RNA (30 nucleotides) under Homo sapiens (human). Lineage: Eukaryota; Metazoa; Chordata; Mammalia; Primates; Hominidae. The record is from RNAcentral.